Long non-coding RNA from Oncorhynchus tshawytscha (Chinook salmon), 1140 nucleotides. NCBI's taxonomy places the organism in Eukaryota, Metazoa, Chordata, Actinopteri, Salmoniformes, Salmonidae. The record is from Ensembl.
GCAGCAUCACGUUGUGGCGGUGCUUUGCUGCAGGAGGGACUGGUGCACUUCACAAAAUAGAUGGCAUCAUGAGGCAGGAAAGUUAUGUGGAUAUAUUGAAGCAACAUCUGAAGACAUCAGUCAAGAAGUUAAAGCUUGGUCGCAAAUGGGUCUUCCAAAUGGACAACGACCCCAAGCACACUUCCAACGUUGUGGCAAAAUGGCAAAAAACUUCUUGUAACUAGGGGGCAGCAUUUUCAUUUUUGGAAAAAUAACAUUCCCAAUGUAAACAGGCUAUUUUGUCAGGACAAGAUGCUAGAAUGCUCAGGGAUUCAAUCUAGCAACCUUUACGGUUGCUGGCCCAACGCUCUAACCACUAGGCUUCCUGCCACCCUGGCAAAUUAGGGUUAAGUACCUUGCUCAAGGACACCUGUCAGCUCGGGUAUUCAAACCAGCAACCUUUCGGUUACUAGCCCAACGCUCUAACCUCUAGGCUACCUGCCGCCCAUGACCUUGUCACCACAUUCUACUAAUUCUCAUACAGCCAGGCUCAACCAUUAAACCCAAAUAGGCCUACUGAACGGAGCCUUGCUCAACCAUUAAACCCACAUAGGCCUACUGAACGGAGCCUUGCUCAACCAUUAAACCCACAUAGGCCUACUGAACGGAGCCUUGCUCAACCAUUAAACCCCCCUAGGUCUAUUGAACGGAGCCUUGCUCAACCAUUAAACCCCCCUAGGUCUACUGAACGGAGACUUGCUCAACCAUUAUACCCCACAUAGGCCUACUGAACGGAGACUUGCUCAACCAUUAUACCCCCCUAGGUCUACUGAACGGAGACUUGCUCAACCAUUAAACCCCCCUAGGUCUACUGAAUUGAGCGGAUCAUGUAAAAAUUGAAAGCACAAUAGCGUUUGAUAUAGUACCUCUAGCUGGAUAUCAAACAAGCAUACUUGGUUUAAAUUGAUCUGAAAACAUGUUCUUUGAUGUUUUUCAAUUGCCAACGGUGAAGUAAAUUGGCUUAAUGGAGGCCAACAAACAAUGGUGUUGUUCUGCUAGAAUGCAAGGGAGCGCCUCACAUUUUAUAUUUUGAGAAUAAAAGUAGCUGGUAAAAAUAUUUCUGGAAAAUGAUUUCUGAAGCUGAAUCAAUGUCCCGCAAGA